UUGAAUCCGUUUCCCCUUUAACUAGGGAGUCCUUCUUUUGCUCCGAUGAGUGAAUUUAUCGAGAGAGCAAAGAUUUGGAAAAGGGCAUGUGAAUGAAGGUGAUUGGUGAAGUGGACGUGAAACCAACCAAGAAGACUCUGUGUUCUCAUUUUCACAGUCGCCGUCGUUCUAGUUCAACCCUCCUGCCAACGAGAGAUCGGAAGAAAAUGGCUCGUCAAGCCACCAGACUCGUGGCCUCUUUGCCAUACCGAACAAGCCAUUGAAUAUGGCACCAAGAUGGUAAUCGUUUACUGCUCAUUAGAUUGGUGGUCUGAUUUUACUGCUUUGAAUAUGGAUUAUCACUCAGCUUUUGAAUAUGGAGCCGAAAGUUUGUUUCUUUAACCAACGGAGAACUCUGAUUAAUCACCGCCCCACCAUUUUGCCUAAUUUUUACACCUUAAAUAGAUACAUGAAACUGACACCCCUACCUCAGCUUAGCCCUAAUGCUAAUAACCCAUAUCAUACACACAGACUUACUUCCCACUACUUAGACAAGCCAAAAAAAUUAAACCAUAAGACGAAGCCAGAUCAGAACACGUCCGGGAUUCAAACUCGCACCUUGCUGAAGAGUGAUGCUUUGACGUGCUGGUUUACGUCCUUUUACAUUGGUCGAGGAGUCGACGAGUAGGCAGGUUCGGUUGUUGCGUUCUUGCGCUCGAGCUUCCGCUUCUCCAGGUACAAAAUGUAGCGUUGCAUGUCUCACCUGCCAGAUUGUCUUUCACAACGUCUUUCCAGACGGCUAGCUCCUUGAUAAGAUCUCUGAGCUGCAGACAAAGCAAGAAAAAUACAGUAUUUUCGUUUCUUUUCUCGAAAGUAUUGGGAAGUUUCCAAACAGCUAGCGGGACUGUUGGCAGUUAACGUACCUGCGGCUUACAUCCCAGUAUCCGUGAAGUAUCGUACAGGUAAGCGAUUAGGCGAGCCCUCGCGAGAGGGUCGGAUUCGAAUGUAUUAUAGCAACUUCAAUGCAC
Molecule: long non-coding RNA, 1007 nt
Filed under: Linum usitatissimum (flax)
Lineage: Eukaryota; Viridiplantae; Streptophyta; Magnoliopsida; Malpighiales; Linaceae
Description: long non-coding RNA (LUSI_LNC005769)
Source: RNAcentral